Molecule: long non-coding RNA, 1064 nt
Organism: Acinonyx jubatus (cheetah)
Lineage: Eukaryota; Metazoa; Chordata; Mammalia; Carnivora; Felidae
Exons: 3
Source: RefSeq, a predicted model, not a curated record
GUCCUCAGGAAAUUCAUAACAUGAGAGUGUCAGGGAAUCAUGUCCCAGAACAUGUCAAGGGCAUGUGGACAGGAUCCAUCCUCUGUUUUGUUUGGACUCUUCUCCCGCAGCAACAAGAGUUCUGCCAAAUGACCAGAUUGGAAUGGGGACAGGUCACUCUGCAGAGAAUCAAGACAUUUGAAAUUCAGUCUCAGCUGUGCCGUGCAAUCUCUCUAAGCCUUGGUUUCCUCGUUUGUGACAGGAGGAAUUUAUAAUCAUGGCCUCGUCAACCUCAAGGGGCUCGUGGGAGAAUCUGAAUAAGCCUGAUCUUAUCUCCGAAAUAAGCAAGGCCCAAACCUACCUGUGUCGUGUAGCAGAAAUAGAAGAGCAGUGAGAAGGAGAAAACGGUUACCAAACAGCAAGAAGUGACCUAAGAAGGGUGGACAGUUGAUGGAAGUGAUGAGGAACGGUCUACAUGGGGAAGGAAACCGGUCAUUCCUUCCAAACUGCCAUGGCCCUCCCUAAAUGAUAUGGUGACCAUCUGAGGAACAUCUACCUUCAACCUGAUGGCACACUCCUUAAAAGUAAGGACUUGCACUAUUCAUCUUUGAUCCCUCUAUGUCCACCAUGCUGAAUGUCGUAGGAGCCCAAUAAAUGCCCAUUAAUCAAAUCAAGGACCCAACAGUCAUUCGUAAAAAAAAAAAAAAAAAAAAGUGACAAGUGACAUGCAGUGAAUUACAGACUGUCUUAACUACCUGUUAGGAUUUCAGCAAAACCUACAAAGCUUGCCCUUUUGCGAGUCUACAGACAGCAAUAUUUAUGACAGCAGACCUUCAAUUAAAAAUCAUUACUUAAGUUCCUUUAUUACAGCUACAAAUAAACUUUAUUUGAUGUAAUGUAAUAAAACAUUUUCAAAUUUAACAACAUUUAUCUGACCAGAAUCAAUAAUUUAAAUUAUGAAUGUAAGUAUAUACAGUCACUUUAGCAAAUCUGCGGUUCAGGAAUUUAUACAAGCUUUGUCUGAAGCCCACCUCCCCUUCCAGACCCUUCUUUGUGUCUGGUGAGAUGCAACGUCAGUGAGAGUG